This 157-nucleotide non-coding RNA is filed under the name Arthrobacter sp. 9V. RNAcentral describes it as "FMN". It matches the Rfam family "FMN riboswitch aptamer (RFN element)". Rfam says of the family: The RFN element is a highly conserved domain that is found frequently in the 5'-untranslated regions of prokaryotic mRNAs that encode for flavin mononucleotide (FMN) biosynthesis and transport proteins. This element is a metabolite-dependent riboswitch that directly binds FMN in the absence of proteins. In Bacillus subtilis, the riboswitch most likely controls gene expression by causing premature transcription termination within the 5' untranslated region of the ribDEAHT operon and precluding access to the ribosome-binding site of ypaA mRNA. Lineage: Bacteria; Bacillati; Actinomycetota; Actinomycetes; Micrococcales; Micrococcaceae. The record is from RNAcentral.
AUACGUGCUCCGGGGUCGGUGUAAGUCCGAACCGGCGGUUAUAGUCCGCGACCCGCGAGCCAUGGGAUGUCCAAGCAAUUGGAUGUUCAAUGGCAGACGGUUGAACUGGUGAAAUUCCGGUACCGACAGUUAAAGUCUGGAUGGGAGAAGCACGUAC